GACGGGGGCCCGCACAAGCGGUGGAGCAUGUGGUUUAAUUCGAUGCAACGCGAAGAACCUUACCUACUCUUGACAUCCAGAGAACUUAGCAGAGAUGCUUUGGUGCCUUCGGGAACUCUGAGACAGGUGCUGCAUGGCUGUCGUCAGCUCGUGUUGUGAAAUGUUGGGUUAAGUCCCGCAACGAGCGCAACCCUUAUCCUUUGUUGCCAGCGGUUAGGCCGGGAACUCAAAGGAGACUGCCAGUGAUAAACUGGAGGAAGGUGGGGAUGACGUCAAGUCAUCAUGGCCCUUACGAGUAGGGCUACACACGUGCUACAAUGGCGCAUACAAAGAGAAGCGACCUCGCGAGAGCAAGCGGACCUCAUAAAGUGCGUCGUAGUCCGGAUUGGAGUCUGCAACUCGACUCCAUGAAGUCGGAAUCGCUAGUAAUCGUGGAUCAGAAUGCCACGGUGAAUACGUUCCCGGGCCUUGUACACACCGCCCGUCACACCAUGGGAGUGGGUUGCAAAAGAAGUAGGUAGCUUAACCUUCGGGAGGGCGCUUACCACUUUGUGAUUCAUGACUGGGGUGAAGUCGUAC
Molecule: ribosomal RNA, 579 nt
Filed under: Enterobacteriaceae bacterium EKM101Z
Lineage: Bacteria; Pseudomonadati; Pseudomonadota; Gammaproteobacteria; Enterobacterales; Enterobacteriaceae
Description: bacterial SSU rRNA
Rfam family: Bacterial small subunit ribosomal RNA
Source: RNAcentral